GGUUCCGUCGACUGAACGAGA
This 21-nucleotide non-coding RNA is filed under the name Arabidopsis thaliana (thale cress). Lineage: Eukaryota; Viridiplantae; Streptophyta; Magnoliopsida; Brassicales; Brassicaceae. The record is from RNAcentral.